GACGAACGCUGGCGGCGCGCCUAACACAUGCAAGUCGAACGGAGUUUUCAAGUGGAUCCCUUCGGGGUGAACUUAAAAACUUAGUGGCGGACGGGUGAGUAACGCGUGAGUAACCUGCCUUUCAGAGGGGGGAUAACAACCGGAAACGGUUGCUAAUACCGCAUAACGUAUCGAAGCCGCAUGGUUUUGAUACCAAAGGAGCAAUCCGCUGAGAGAUGGACUCGCGUCCAAUUAGCUAGUUGGUGAGGUAACGGCCCACCAAGGCGACGAUUGGUAGCCGGACUGAGAGGUUGAACGGCCACAUUGGGACUGAGACACGGCCCAGACUCCUACGGGAGGCAGCAGUGGGGAAUAUUGCACAAUGGGGGAAACCCUGAUGCAGCGACGCCGCGUGAGGGAAGAAGGUUUUCGGAUUGUAAACCUCUGUCCUUGGUGACGAUAAUGACGGUAGCCAAGGAGGAAGCCACGGCUAACUACGUG
RNAcentral lists this ribosomal RNA (480 nucleotides) under uncultured bacterium. RNAcentral describes it as "bacterial SSU rRNA". It matches the Rfam family "Bacterial small subunit ribosomal RNA", at positions 28 to 507 of the family's 1533-position model. The record is from RNAcentral.